RNA transcript from Salvia splendens (bonfire salvia), 2055 nucleotides. It is a transcript of the gene named putative RNA-binding protein Luc7-like 2, with no coding region annotated. The record is from RefSeq and is a predicted model, not a curated record. The transcript has 13 exons. Lineage: Eukaryota; Viridiplantae; Streptophyta; Magnoliopsida; Lamiales; Lamiaceae.
UUCAUUCGACCAAUUUUCCCAAUUCUAGGGCCAAACCAAACCCUCACACAGUCACACACUCACAAUUCGCUGCUCCCGAACGCGCUCACGUUCGGAACGGAAGCCAUGGAUGCGCUAAGGAAGCAGCUCGAUGUGCUGAUGGGAGCCAACCGCAACGGCGACGCGCAGGAGGUGACGCGCAAGUACUACGAUCGCGACGUCUGCCGCCUCUUCCUCGCCGGACUUUGCCCGCACGAGCUUUUCCAGCUUACUAAAAUGGACAAGGGACCAUGCCCCAAGGUGCACUCGCUGCAGCUGAGGAAAGAAUAUGAGGAUGCAAAAGCAAAGGGUGUUGACAAUUAUGAUAGGGAUUUAGAGGAUAACAUAGACAGACUUAUUGUCGAGUGUGAUCGUAAAAUUGAAAGGGCUCUGAAGAGACUUGAUGAAGAGGAUGCCAAAGCAGCUGUUGCAAUUUCUGUAUCGGAAGUUACCCUGACACCAGAGAUUGAUGAGAUGUCAAAGCAAAUUAAGGAGAAAUUGCAUGAACUCGAUCAAUUUGAUCUUGAAGGCAAGACGGACAUGAAGAUGCGGGUCCAGGAAGAGAUUGAAGAGCUAAGAACUCAAAGAGCAGAUAAACAGUCUAUGCUUCUUUUGGAUGCUUUCAACAAAGAUCGUGCAUCUCUUCCUCAGCCUAUGGCGAAUGCUUUGCAGGGUGCACCUAUGCCUGCAGCUGUUCCAGAUCCUCACAUUCAGGAGAUGAUCAAUGAAAAGCUAAAGAAAGCUGAAGAACUUGGUGAACAAGGAAUGGUAGAUGAAGCACAGAAAGCAUUAGAAGAGGCCGAAGCACUAAAAAAGCUGCCAGCUCGACAGGAACCUGUACUGGAUUCAUCAAAGUACACAGCUGCUGAUGUGCGCAUUACUGAUCAGAAGCUUCGUGUCUGUGACAUUUGUGGAGCAUUCCUCAGUGUUUAUGACAGCGAUCGCCGUUUAGCUGAUCAUUUUGGUGGAAAGCUCCAUUUAGGGUAUAUGCUAAUCCGUGAAAAGCUAGUUGAACUCCAGGUGCUGCUAUAAUCUUUCAAUUUCUUAUAGAGAGUCUCACUUUAUAUGUCCUCUGAAACAAAAGGGUAAGGUAACAGCUGGUGACCAUCUGUAAGUUUUCCUGGUAUGACGUUUGAAGUUCUCUUAAGUAGAAUUCGAACAGAUGAAAAUCAUUUUAUUAGCUAAUUUGAAAAUAAAAAUGAGAGGCUUUAGCUGAUUGGAGUUAUUAAGACCGAUUAGAUAAAGAUUAGGAAUUUAUCAUGUUUUACUGUAUCUAGAUGCUGCUUAGGGGACAGUAAUUUGCCUUUCUGCUGGAAAAGGGGUACAUUUGAUGCCUUGAAAUUCAGGUUUGUUAGUCAGGAAACAGACACAAUUCUUAUUGUAGUUCUGCAAACCAGUUUAGAUUCACAUUUGCUUUUUAAUCUGCACCGACUAGCUGUUUCUGCUCUAACUUUAGCUGGAUACGCCAAUUGAAUGUGAUAAUUUAUCACUGUAGUGGCAUACUGUGCCUUACCUUUAAGAAGGUACCAAUUUGACUUUUAGUUGAUAGUACACAAAUGAUAGAUUAAUCUCGAGGGUAUCUCUGACGAAAACAUGCUGUUUUUAUCUCUCGGGUUUAGCAGCACAGCAUGUAUCCUCUAGGGAACAGAAUUGAGAUUUAUACUUAUCAAAUAAGAGACCCAGAAAAUGAUUCAAACUGAUAAGUUUACAUUUUCUUGGUAAGAUAAACCAGAUAUACCAAGGGGCAGUAAAAUUUCUUCAGUUGGUUUGCACCUUCAGUGGGCUAUGGGGAAGAAUAUGUUUGUUUAUUUCGAUUAUACUUAACUUGGAUCAACCAUAAUGUGUCAUUUCAAAUGUAUCUUAUUUUGGAUCAUUAUCAGGAAGAGCGAGACAAGAAACGUAAAACCCUUGAAGAAGAGAGAAGGAAAAGCCUGGAGCAUGAGAGAGGAUCUAGCAAGGAUCGAGAAAGAGUUGACAGAGGUGAUCGUAAGGAUUAUGAUCGUCGGAGCCGAGACCGGGACAGGCAUUAUGAUCGCA